Molecule: non-coding RNA, 21 nt
Filed under: Arabidopsis thaliana (thale cress)
Lineage: Eukaryota; Viridiplantae; Streptophyta; Magnoliopsida; Brassicales; Brassicaceae
Source: RNAcentral
UGAACUCGUGUGCCUUGUCUC